Molecule: ribosomal RNA, 337 nt
Filed under: Candidatus Saccharimonadota bacterium
Lineage: Bacteria; Candidatus Saccharimonadota
Description: bacterial SSU rRNA
Rfam family: Bacterial small subunit ribosomal RNA
Source: RNAcentral
UUAACUGAGAGUUUGAUCCUGGCUCAGGAUAAACGCUGGCGGCGUGCCUAAUACAUGCAAGUCGUACGGAAACACUUCGGGUGUCGAGUGGCGGACGGGUGAGUAAUACGCAGGAAUGUACCCCAAAGUGAGGGAUAACUAUCUGAAAAGAUAGCUAAUACCGCAUGUGAUCUUUGGAUUAAAGCUUUUUAUGAAGCGCUUUGGGAAUAGCCUGUGGCGGAUUAGCUAGUUGGUAAGGUAAAGGCUUACCAAGGCGAUGAUCCGUAGCUGGUUUGAGAGGAUGAUCAGCCACACUGGGACUGAGACACGGCCCAGACUCCUACGGGAGGCAGCAGUG